Long non-coding RNA from Triticum aestivum (bread wheat), 1227 nucleotides. RefSeq lists it as uncharacterized. The record is from RefSeq and is a predicted model, not a curated record. The transcript has 3 exons. Lineage: Eukaryota; Viridiplantae; Streptophyta; Magnoliopsida; Poales; Poaceae.
ACCUCCGUCUGCUGCCAUCUAUCUGUCAUUGAAGAUCUCUAUUGGCAACCUCCUCCGUCUGCUGCUAUCACCCAGCCCUCUCCCUGGCCCUAAUCGGCGCACGUCUCCUCUCCACUUCUCCUUCAGAGUAUGCGCACAUGUGGAGGCCAUCGAUUUAUCCGUCAUGGACGAUCUCAAUGGCCACUUCGUCUGCCUGCUCCCGUCACCCUGCCCUAAUCCGUCCUCUUACCUCCGUCGAUGGUGCCGCAGGUUAGCACGGCCUCCUCUGCCUUCUUUCUCCAUCAUCUCCCUCGCCAAUCCUGUUCUAAGCAGUCUCCUGCUUCUGUGAUUGAUGUCGUCCUUCUCCAGUCACGAGUCUCCGCAGGUUAUAUGUCUCCUCCUCAGAUUUCCCUUCCAUUGCAAAAGAUAGGAACGCCUUUCCCAUACCUUCAGUAGUGGCUUCAAUUCAAGUCGCAAAAGUUUCUAUAGAACAGUUCAGUUGUCAAAGUUCCAUUAGCCCGCAAAACAUUCUCUCAGAUCUGGAGCCUACUCAAGAAUGACGACUCCACCGUUAUGUGCUCACCUUCUUGGCUGCCACUUCUCAUCAGCUUAAUCUUCUGUCACAGACUCAUUUCGUCAGGGAGUUCCACACGCCAUAGUUCCUCCCUCUCUCCUAUCUGAUUUGGACUCCCUCACAGAUACCACAAUCGCUCUCCGAUGUGCACAUAUUAGCCAUGGUUUACCCAUCGUUUAUACCACUCAAUACUUGCAUACGAAGUUAGCACACCUGCAUUGCCAUGGGUAGCCAGCCAAUGCUUACAACAGUCCAUCCUAUAAGUGCCUCGCUGUCUUGGGUUGAUUUGCCAAUCAAGUGCUAUUUUUUAUUUUAGUUGUGGAAUAUCACCAUGAUGGUGCAAUGAGAGUUUGUUCCCUAUUCACUGCAAUAUCGGAGGAAUGGCAAGACUGCUAGAGAACUAUAACGUGUGUUGAGUUGACAUAGAUAAUACAUAACUUGGUGUGUCAUGUGCACAUCCAUCGUCGGGUAUGUAUAAUAGUAAUCCAUCUCAUCAUGAGAUGUUAGUGUUGACAAAAUCAAGGCGAAAGAUACAAAAGGAAGAUUUAUGGGUGCAUCAUUACUACAUAAUCUUGCUGCAUGCUCUUCGUCUCGAUAUUAAGUAUUUCUGUUUUGGCAUUACAAUCUACUUUACCUUUGAGUUUCUCAUUUACUUUUUUUUAUCAUAAGUUCAU